CCUACGGGGGGCAGCAGUGAGGAAUAUUGGUCAAUGGACGAGAGUCUGAACCAGCCAAGUAGCGUGAAGGAUGACUGCCCUAUGGGUUGUAAACUUCUUUUAUAUGGGAAUAAAAUGUUCCACGUGUGGGAUUUUGUAUGUACCAUAUGAAUAAGUAUCGGCUAACUCCGUGCCAGCAGCCGCGGUAAUACGGAGGAUCCGAGCGUUAUCCGGAUUUAUUGGGUUUAAAGGGAGCGUAGGUGGAUUGUUAAGUCAGUUGUGAAAGUUUGCGGCUCAACCGUAAAAUUGCAGUUGAAACUGGCAGUCUUGAGUACAGUAGAGGUGGGCGGAAUGCGUGGUGUAGCGGUGAAAUGCUUAGAUAUCACGAAGAACUCCGAUUGCGAAGGCAGUUCACUGGACUGCAACUGACACUGAGGCUCGAAAGUGUGGGUAUCAAACAGGAUUAGAUACCCGGGUAGUC
RNAcentral lists this ribosomal RNA (460 nucleotides) under uncultured bacterium. RNAcentral describes it as "partial 16S ribosomal RNA". It matches the Rfam family "Bacterial small subunit ribosomal RNA", at positions 338 to 795 of the family's 1533-position model. The record is from RNAcentral.